RNAcentral lists this ribosomal RNA (468 nucleotides) under uncultured bacterium. Its description in RNAcentral is "partial 16S ribosomal RNA". It matches the Rfam family "Bacterial small subunit ribosomal RNA", at positions 28 to 507 of the family's 1533-position model. The record is from RNAcentral.
GACGAACGCUGGCGGCGUGCUUAACACAUGCAAGUCGAACGGAAAGGCCCUGCUUUUGUGGGGUGCUCGAGUGGCGAACGGGUGAGUAACACGUGAGUAACCUGCCCUUGACUUUGGGAUAACUUCAGGAAACUGGGGCUAAUACCGGAUAGGAGCUCCUGCUGCAUGGGGGGGGUUGGAAAGUUUCGGCGGUGGGGGCAGGACUCGCGGCUUAUGAGCUUGUUGGUGGGGUAGUGGCUUACCAAGGCUUUGACGGGUAGCCGGCCUGAGAGGGUGACCGGCCACCAUGGGCCUGAGGUACGGCCCAGACUGCUACGUGAGGCAGCAGUCGGGAAUCUUGCACAACGGGCCGAAGCCUGAUGCAGAAACGCCGCGUGCGGGAUGCCGGCCUUCGGGUUGUAAACCGCUUUCGCCUGUGACGAAGCGUGAGUGACGGUACCGGGUCAAGAAGCCCCGGCUAACUACGUG